Molecule: long non-coding RNA, 268 nt
Organism: Helicoverpa zea (corn earworm)
Lineage: Eukaryota; Metazoa; Arthropoda; Insecta; Lepidoptera; Noctuidae
Exons: 3
Source: RefSeq, a predicted model, not a curated record
GGCAAGUCCUUCUUUUCAUUCAACGGAGUCUCGGACACAGACCUAAAUCUGCAUCGUGAAAUUUACUUUUAAUCACGAACUCCUUUUGAAGGAGGGAAGUUAAAACUUUUCCCUUUUAACCAUGAGAGCUAAGUGGCGUAAGAAGCGCAUGCGAAGGCUAAAGCGCAAAAGGAGGAAGAUGCGUGCGAGGUCCAAAUAAUCUGGUACGCAAGUGGAUGUUAGGGUCAUCUAAUGCUGCUAGUGUAUCAAAUAAAAGCUAAAAAAAUCA